GCACUGCUGAUGAGACCCAGCCAGGUCGAAACAGCUGUCCAGUGC
Molecule: non-coding RNA, 45 nt
Organism: Echinostoma caproni
Lineage: Eukaryota; Metazoa; Platyhelminthes; Trematoda; Plagiorchiida; Echinostomatidae
Source: Rfam